This 486-nucleotide ribosomal RNA is filed under the name uncultured bacterium. Its description in RNAcentral is "bacterial SSU rRNA". It matches the Rfam family "Bacterial small subunit ribosomal RNA", at positions 28 to 507 of the family's 1533-position model. The record is from RNAcentral.
GACGAACGCUGGCGGCGUGGAUUAGGCAUGCAAGUCGAACGGUAUCAUCCUUUCGGGGGUGAGAGAGUGGCGAACUGGUGAGUAACACGUAGGUUAUCUACCCUCAAGACGGGGACAACCCAGGGAAACUUGGGCUAAUACCGGAUGUGAGCAACUUUUAGUUGUUUGAAAGGUGGCGUAAGCUGUCGCUUGGGGAUGAGCCUGCGUCCUAUUAGUUAGUUGGUGAGGUAACGGCUCACCUAGGCAAUGAUAGGUAGGCGGCCUUAACGGGUGGUCGCCCACACUGGGAUUGAGAUACGGCCCAGACUCCUACGGGAGGCAGCAGUCGAGAAUAGUCUACAAUGGUCGAAAGACUGAUAGUGCGACGCCGCGUGAACGAAGAAGCCCUUCGGGUGUAAAGUUCUUUUAUACGUGAGCAGUGCCCUUUAUAUGAAUAGUAUAGAGGGAGGGAUUUAAGCGUAUGAAUAAGCAACGGCUAACUCCGUG